Paramuricea clavata is the source of this 77-nucleotide non-coding RNA. The record is from the annotation of a GenBank genome assembly. NCBI's taxonomy places the organism in Eukaryota, Metazoa, Cnidaria, Anthozoa, Malacalcyonacea, Plexauridae.
GCCUUUGUAGCUCAGUUGGUUAGAGCGCUGUACUUCCGGUGCAGGACCGCAAGUUCGAUUCCUGCAUGCCAGAGGCU